CUCUCCUGCAUUUCAUCAUCAUCUUCCAUCAUCCCGCAUCUCUUCAGGACAUCACCGAGAACACAAUUC
RNAcentral lists this long non-coding RNA (69 nucleotides) under Mus caroli (Ryukyu mouse). Its description in RNAcentral is "sRNA (MGP_CAROLIEiJ_G0008767.1)". It matches the Rfam family "Adaptive response 33 conserved region 2". Lineage: Eukaryota; Metazoa; Chordata; Mammalia; Rodentia; Muridae. The record is from RNAcentral.